UUUUUUUUUUGGUAAUCUGCUAAUUUCCUUUGGCAUAACCUCUCCGUUGAACUAAAUGUAGGUGUAAGAGUGAGAAACAUCUUGUUUAAAAGCAAUGAGACCUCACCAUAUUUUCUUAAAAUACCCUCCUUCCAUCAAAAGUAAGAAAAUGAGUUCAAGGGAAAAAAAUCAAGAGGGUUAAGUUCCCACUUGGUCCUUCAAUAAAAUUACUUGUCACCGCGUUCAGCUGAUGAUCACCCAGACACAGAACUGGACUCUCCCUGCACUUGUGUCCAUGUAUUGCUAAGUUUACUAACACAAUCUGCAUGCCAUAGGACAAAAGAUCACCCUAUUUAACAGAUUUCAAGAAAUUAACCUGUACUGAUAUAUGACCCUGUUUGAUGCCAAUACGGUAAGGUGGUAGCAGCAGGUUGCGGUGCAGCCAGGUUUCAAGAGAGGCUCAUUUGACUGCUGAUUAAGGAUAACUUGCAGGAAAAGUGAUUUCUCAUCAGGGAGGAAAGGUAUCUGCUGCAAAGAGCAACAGUGCCUACUGGACAGUCAGAGAGUCUGUCAGAGUCGCUGCAGAUGUGCACGCCACAGUCAUGCUGGAGAGUCUGGCUCAAGGGACUAGGGGCAAAGGAGGUCUUAGGAAAGGACAAGAGUUAAGAAGCAUAAUAAAGCCCAGCCACAAAUGUGGAAGAAGCCAGGUCUACCUGGAUGUUUUGUUCUGUGUGCCAAAUCAAGCAUCUUUAGAAAGCCUCAAUUCAUAUUGCCCUCCCUAACUCAGGCUGAUUAAAUUAGAAUCUCCAUUAUUCAGCUGCCUACUCAGAGGCACUUCACCAACAUGGAACUUCCUGUCCUUGUCAGCAGCCCUGGGAACACCAUAACAGCAGAUUUUGUGGACAUCAAAUUAGCAAUGAGCCAUUGGGCUUCAGCAGGCAAAUGAUUGACCUCCACUCCUUGAGCAAAAGAAAAGAUUCUUGAACCAAGGUAAUGACUAGAUCUUGAUGUUAGGUGAGUCACUCAGAACCACAGAGCUCUUCAUUAGAAAUAUAUAAACAAUAAUACAUGUUCUGUCUGAAAAUAGCUUCCAAAAUUAUAAACAUUACAUAGAAGGGAAUUCUUUAUUUCUUGAAUGUUCUUAAAAUUGAUUGCCCCGCACCUACCCCACGCCCCCAGCCUUCUAUCCUUCCCUUCCACUGCUCCCAAUUCCUUCAAACAGAUUUCCAUGGUAACCAAGAGCUACCACAAAAAUGCAGACUCCUGGGUGACAUUCAUAACAAAUAUGCCUGACUCUGAUAAUUCUGCUUUGGUUGCACCAAUUUUAACCUAGGUUUUCACAUCCUUUUCAACUUAACCCCCAAAGACUAUCCUCAAGAACUUUCUGUCUCUGAAAACUGUUUUUUUCCUUGAAGUGAUAGAAAGGGCAAACUAAAGAAUUUUAGAACUGAAUAAGACCAUUCAAAAGCCUCACUUACUUAAAUGAAAUCUGGGUCAGGGAAAAGAGGUAACCACAACAAGUUACGUAGCUGGUGAGUAUGAGAGUUAGUGAGUAGUAGUAACCCAAUUCACUUAACUCCCAAAUCAGUGCUCAGGAUCUGGAGACAUUUUUGGUAUCACAACUGCCAAGAGUGGGAGGGGGCGAGCGGCUGCUGACAUCUGGUGGGUAGAGGCCAGGGAUUCUGGUAAACGCCCCGCAAUGCAAAAGGCAGCCCCUAAAGAAAGAAUUAUAGAGUCCAAAACAUCAACAGUGCCAAGAUGGAGAACUAUGAGGUAGGGAAAUUGAAAAAAAAUUUAAUAAAAGUUGUAAUCAAGUUUAAAUUAUAUCUUGAAAUGUCAAAGCGAGUGUAUUAAUAAUGAUUUUCCUUUCAAAUUCCCAUUCUCUGCCACAAUACACCAUGAAACAGAAUAUGUUUCCAAUUCUGCAUAGAACUGGUAUUUACUAUCAUUGCAUUUCAUUUUACCUUGAAAUGUUAAUUGCUGUACAGCAGGGCUCCAUGGUUGAUUUAAAUUUACAUUUGCUUUUAAAUUUGAUUAAUCCAUCUCUUAGGAUCCCAUUCUUCCAUAGUUACUCAGAGGGAAAAUAGGCUUUUGAGUACACAAUAAUUAAAAAAAAAAAAAAAAGCCUGGCUGAUUUGGUAGUUACACUUUUACAUUAAAGUGACUUUUAAGUAGAAGAAAUAAGGGAUGCUAGUAGAAGAAUAAAAUAUAUCCUCAUUUACCUGGAUAUCUGUCCUGAAAUAUCUUAGGCUUGCUGUGACACAGUAAUAAAUACAAGAGAAAAUAGAACUUCACCUUACUUCUUGUAUUCAGAAAAUUGCUACCUUUUAGGAAUAUCCUGAUUUAUUCUAUUUCAAAAUAAAUAUAAAUAUAUAAAAAUUUGAAGGAGUCCUCUUCAGAGCCAGUAGGGUGCCUUACAUAGAACCACUUCCUGUAUCUAGCUUCCUGCUCAACUUCCCACUCUGCCUUCUGGGAUUCACCUGAUGGACUUUGCUAAAACCACUGUAAGAAGAUUCUUUUUGGCUACACAUAGAAGCAGCAGAUAAAUGGAAGAUAAAUAACAUUGCUUAAAUACUUAAUUCUCACCAAGCACUCUCCUAGACAUUUAAUUUCAACCUAGAAAUGGCAAAUAUUGGCAAGCAUCCACUCCAUCCCACUCCCAGGCAAGUCUCUCUAAUCAAUCAUGUCACUUUUCCAAUAACUUGGAUUUACCAUAAAGUCCUCUUCAAUGCACUCCAGUAAGCCAUUACCAAUUAAUCCUUACGAAGCAACAGGUUGAAUGAAACCCAUGUGCCAUCCCUGAUAAACAUUAAGAGCAUAAAUAAGGAACAGUCUGCUCUUCAGAGAUGCUGGUCAGCUAUCCUGGACAGAUUUUUUUUUUUCCCCUUGAGAUUGGUAGACCUGCAUUUAAAUUUUGAUUCUGACAAGUUACACAUCAAUUUCUAUGAAGUUCUCCAUCUUAGCCCACCCUCACCCCCAAGUCAGAGCACUUAGAAUUCUGGUAUGAAGUUGUUGAAAUUUGGAGGGCACAAUACUAUCAAAGAAGUGUUUCAUGUGCAAAGUUUUAAAAUCCUUCAAGGAUUUUCAAAAGGACUAUUAUGAUUCAAUAAAAAUCAUCUAGUGCUGUUUGAUUUGAUCACCAAGAGGUUUUCUGCUCUCCCACCGUUUUGGUUAACAUAUUAAUAACUUAAGACCCCUUUAAGGAGUCUCAAGAGAUAGUUUUGGAUUCUGGCUGAUUAGAUGAAGCAGUACUCCAGAAGGACAGAGUCUCCUCUGACAUAUCUCAAGCCCUCAGGAGCUUGGGCUACUGCCUCGGUCGGGUAUAAUUUCCCCUCCUCUCCAUUCCCUGUCACCCCCAUACUCAUGCUUUUGCUUCCCUGACUUUGACGCAAUUGCUAAAUUGUAUAGUACAUGAAUUACUGUAUAUCUACAUUGAAACAAAUGGCCUUUAUUGAAUCUGAUGUGACUCUAACUUGGUAACCUGUGCCUUUAGCAUGGCAUUAUGUAUUUUGACAUAGCCUCUUAAAUAGAAAACAUUUAAGUGGCACAGAGACACUCAGCUCCCUAGCUAGAAAUAGAACAGCUUACAUCACAACCCUUUUUAGAUAGGAAAACACUAUUCUUAGGUGCUUUGUUGAAGUAAACACCAUAAAAUAGCAGAGUUUUAAAAAGACAAUUUCUGCAUAUUUUAUCUACUACUUUUCUUCAACAAAUCCUCUUUUCCUAGGUUAAAACUUAGGUUUUCUUUGAAGGGAAAACACUGAGUUUCAUUACUUCCAUGUAGCCAUAAUAUAUAUAAGCUGAUUUCCUUGUGUAUGUAUGUAUUCAUUUUAGGAGUAAGUAAUUGUCAACCGCCAUUCCUAUUUAUCUCAGAAGUGAUAUAUCAGUGGUCAUCAAAUUUAUCAUCUCAACAAUAAAUUAACGAUAAUCUGCUAUGGCCUGAAUGUUUGUGCCCCACCCCCCAAAUUCACACGUUGGAGUUCUACCACUCAAGGUGACAGUGUUAGGAAAUGGGGUCUUUGGAAAGUGACUGGGUCAUGGGGAUGGCACCCUUAUGAAUGGGAUAAGUGCCCUUACAAAAGAGACCCCACAGAGCUUUCUUGCCCCUUCUGCCAUGUGAGGAUACAAUGAGAAAUCUGCCGCCCAGAAGAAGGCUCUCCUCCAGCCACACUAGAACCAUGAUCUCUGACUUCCAGCCUUUCAUCUCUGAUGAAAAAAUGUCUGCUGUGUAUAAGCUACCCAGUCUUUGGUAUUUUGUUAUAGCAGCCCAAACAGACUAACUCAUAAUUAUGACUUAAAAAAAAAAAAGUACCCUACUCAGUUUCUUAAGAUGAAAAGAAGGAUAGUUCUCUUUCUGAGGGACAUUUCUAAAAGACAUCUUUCACAUACAUGAUCUUGUUUUAGCCUUACAAUUACCUUUUUUUUUUUUUUUUUUUUUUUUUUUUUUGGUCAUGCUCUCAAUAUGUGAUCAAACAUGCCAGGCCAGUGAUCAAACCACAGCAGUGAUCCAAGCCAGAUCCUCAGCGGGCUGCUCCACAAGGAAACUUCCAAAUAUCUUUAUCUCAGUGUUUCAACUGAAGGUCAGAGAUGUCUGAUAAUUUGACUGAUCAUUUGAUUUUUCAAUCACUUACCUUCAGGUAAGUUGAAGUCCAUUUAAACUUCAUGCGAAAGGCAGAAAACCAUGAGCAAUCUUCUCUUCAGUUAUGUUAAAUGGAUAUUCUCAAGCAGAGUAUGUCUUAUGCCAUGACGUGUGAAAAAUAUAUAUAUUCUUAGAGCUUG
This 4758-nucleotide long non-coding RNA is filed under the name Sus scrofa (pig). RNAcentral's name for it is "lncRNA (ENSSSCG00065015160.1)". Lineage: Eukaryota; Metazoa; Chordata; Mammalia; Artiodactyla; Suidae. The record is from RNAcentral.